This is a small nucleolar RNA of Tachyglossus aculeatus (Australian echidna), 138 nucleotides long. The record is from RefSeq and is a predicted model, not a curated record. Lineage: Eukaryota; Metazoa; Chordata; Mammalia; Monotremata; Tachyglossidae.
CCCCUCUCAGGGUCACACCUGGAGAGUUUCCAGUACUCUACCAAUCUAGUAUAUGGGAGGGAGAGUCAGGCAGAGGUCUAUCCAUUCCAUUCCUAGCUUGGGCAUUGGCUAGAGAGUGGAAGGAAAACUGCUAGAAGU